GACGAACGCUGGCGGCGUGCUUAACACAUGCAAGUCGAACGGAAAGGCCCUGCUUUUGUGGGGUGCUCGAGUGGCGAACGGGUGAGUAACACGUGAGUAACCUGCCCUUGACUUUGGGAUAACUUCAGGAAACUGGGGCUAAUAACGGAUAGGAGCUCCUGCUGCAUGGUGGGGGUUGGAAAGUUUCGGCGGUUGGGGCUGGACUCGCGGCUUAUCAGCUUGUUGGUGGGGUAGUGGCAUACCAAGGCUUUGACGGGUAGCCGGCCUGGGAGGGUGACCGGCCACAUUGGGACUGAGAUACGGCCCAGUCUCCUACGGGAGGCAGCGGAGGGGAGUGGUGUACAAUGGGCGGAAGCCUGAUGCAGCAACGCCACGUGCGGGAUGACGGCCAUCGGGUUGUAAACCGCUUUCGCCUUAGACGAAGGGUGUGUGACGGUAAUGUGUAAAGAAGCACCGGCUAACUACGUG
RNAcentral lists this ribosomal RNA (468 nucleotides) under uncultured bacterium. Its description in RNAcentral is "partial 16S ribosomal RNA". It matches the Rfam family "Bacterial small subunit ribosomal RNA", at positions 28 to 507 of the family's 1533-position model. The record is from RNAcentral.